Molecule: long non-coding RNA, 1191 nt
Organism: Octopus sinensis (East Asian common octopus)
Lineage: Eukaryota; Metazoa; Mollusca; Cephalopoda; Octopoda; Octopodidae
Exons: 2
Source: RefSeq, a predicted model, not a curated record
UAUAUAUAUAUAUAUAUAUAUAUAUAUAUAUGUAUAUGUAUAGUAUUUAAAAACAAUUUUUAUUUUGUUCACACUUCCAUCAUCACUGAAACCUUUGAAUUUUUGGAGAAGUUAAAUUCUGCAUUAUUAUUAUUAUUAUUAUAAUAACUGUAGUGGCUAGUGCAUAGAAAGAAAAGAGUGAGAGAGAGAGAGCUAAGCUCCUAGUGAGCUUAAUGCACAACCUAGAUUUUGAUACCUGGUUGUUAUGUUACCACAUCACAUCCCGUUAUGCUGCUGCCAGUGUCCUGUCCACUUGAAGAGGGAGAGGCACAAAUGUUCCUGCAGCUCGUUUGCCCACCCCCCAUAAUAAAUCCGAAUGCGUUGCACCUCAAUGAAAAUUAUCAUCUUCAUUAUUAUUAUUAUUAUAUUUGCCUUUCAUCUUUUUGGGGUCAAUAAAAUAAGUACCAUUUGAUCACUGGUAUUGAUGUAAUUGACUAGCUACCCAGACCCAUCCCUUAAAAUUUCAGGCCCUGUGUCUUUAGUUAAAUGGAUUGUUAUUAUAGGUGGUGAGCUGGUAAAAUCACUAUUGCGUUGGAUAAAAUGCUUAGCGUAUUACUUCCAGUUAUUUGCAUUCUGAGUUCAAAUUCUGCCAAGGUUGACUGUGCCUUUCAUCCUUUCACAGUCGAUAAAUUAAGUACAAGUUGAAGACUGGGGUCGAUGUAAUUGACAUAUCCCCUUCCCUAAAAUGGCUGCCCUUGUGGCAAAAUUCGAAAUUAUUAUUAUUAUUGUUAUGGCAGUGAGUUAGUAGAAUUGUUCAAGUGCUGCAAAGAAGGCCUUGCUGUAUUUCUCCCUGCUUAUUACAUUCUGAGUUCAAAUCCUACCAGGAUUAUCUUUGUCUCAUCCUUUCAUGGGUUAAGGAUACCAGAUACCAGUCCAAGCGCUGGUGUCAAUUUAAUUGACUAACACCCUUCCCCCAAAUUACUUGCCUUGUGCAUAAAUUAGAAACAAUUAUUAUUAUUAUCAUUAUUUUAAUGACAUUAUACAGCUGCUCCCUGAAGAAUGUGACUGUCAGUUGGUAGUUAAUUUUUUUCCUUUUUCUCCCCAAUGCAUGUCUGUGAUGUGAUUAUUUAUUUCUGCAUUUAACAUUCGUCUUUCUCUUGGUUUAGAAUUUGUAGACGGAUCUUUGUAUUAUCACUCUCUCUUCUUCCCUUA